Mangifera indica (mango) is the source of this 5124-nucleotide RNA transcript. It is a transcript of the gene named Fanconi anemia group D2 protein homolog, with no coding region annotated. NCBI's taxonomy places the organism in Eukaryota, Viridiplantae, Streptophyta, Magnoliopsida, Sapindales, Anacardiaceae. The transcript has 31 exons. The record is from RefSeq and is a predicted model, not a curated record.
UAUUUUUGAGCGCUCGGGCACAUGGAGGAAUUUGGCCCAACAUCCAAACACCUCGUCUCGAAAAAAUUGAAAUUUGGCGCCCUCUAAAAUCCCUCCCUCGCUCCCUCACUCUCAGACCAGUAACAGAGAAGGUAACCACGAACGCCGCAAGGAAGCAAUUAGGGCGGAGAAAAUGGUGUUACUACGGCAGCAAAAGUCGUCACUCAAAAGAGAAAGAGACUCGUCUCCCUCUUUCAGAAGUCAAUUUCCUUCUUCCAAAGUUCCUAAAUCCCUAGAUUCAAAAACUGAAAAGAUGAUUUCUAUUCUGGCGGAUGCUGGUUGUACCUUAAUCAACCGCUCCGCUCCUCCUUCUCUUCCUUCUGAUCCCAACCAUCUCCAACGCCACCUCACCAAUCUCUUCUCUCGUGACCCUUCUCUUUCUUCUCAUUUCCUUGCUGGUUUCUCUACUUACAUUGACUCUCCCAAUAAUUUAACCAGAGUUAUGAGCUCUUUAAAUCCUGGCAGAAACAACAGCUUAGUUCGACAUCUCUUGUUGGUCCCCUCUAUUCAAUUAGAACUUAUGAACAUGCUUCUCGAGAAACUUCCAGAAUUCUUUGACAUAAAUCCGGAGACAUCGUUGUCUCUUCAAGAUGAUGUUGGUAGGCUCAUUAUUAAUCAAUUUCGGUGGCUUGAUUUUCUUGUGGACCCUCAAGCCUUUACUGAUAAGUUGAUGCAACUACUUUGUAUUUGUCCUUUACAUUUAAAAAAAGAAAUCAUUGGAUCAUUGCCUGAGAUUAUUGGUGAUCAGUCAGAUAAUAAGACUGUGGUAGACUCCCUCCACCAGAUGCUCAGAGAAGAUUCAGCUAUCAUUGUGCCUGUGCUUGACUGUUUUUCCAACCUUAAUUUGGAUGAUCAGUUGCAAGAACAAGUCAUCACCAUAGCAUUAUCAUGCAUUAGAACCAUUGAUGCACAACACAUGCCAUAUCUACUUAGAUUUUUACUCCUUUCUGCAAAACAAGCAAAUGUUCGAAUGAUUAUAUCUCACAUCCGACAGCAUUUGAAGUUCGUUGGGGUGUCAAAUUCUCGUGCAACGCAGCAAUAUAAACUAAAAGGAAAGUCUUUAGUAGAUCAUUCAGAGGCAUCUAUUCUUGAUGCCUUGAGGUCAAGUCUUCGAUUUAAGAAUAUGCUUUGUCAGGAGAUUUUGAAAGAAUUGAAUGGCCUCCAGAAGCCACACGAUCACAAAGUCAUAGACGUAUGGCUUCUUGUGCUUAUGUAUACAAAUGCCGACAUAGCCCUACAAAGGAGCAUUUUAAAGCUUCUCAGGAAGAAAAUUGUUCAAGAUUGCAUUCAGGAAGUUAUGCUUGAUCAGUGUAUUCGUGGGAAUAAAGAAUUGGUCCAGGAUUUUUUUCCGUCCUUCCUAUCAUUCUCCGAGUACUUAUUAACAUGCAAAGAACAAAAGGCUAUGGAGCUUGGGAUUCACUUGUAUACCAUCCUAUUUGAAGAGUUUAAUAAUACUAAUGCAAGACAGGAAGUUCUUGGUGCACUAAUUACGCAUGUGGGAUCAGGUGUUAACUUUGAAGUGAGUUCUGCUUUGGAGACCUUGUCUCUGCUGGCCUCAAAAUAUGCACCGGAACUGAUUCCAUUAUCUUCUCAUAUAAAUGGGAUUUUGGAUUACUUGGAGGUUUUUAGUAUUGCAAAUCUGCAGAAGGUCUACGAGGUUUUCAGUCAUCUAGCACUGUCUGGUAAAUCUAGUGCUGGUUGUUUUGGAUCUUCUAUUGCAAAUGAACUUCUCAUGAUAGUGCGGAAGCAGGUCAGCCAUAAAGAACUGAAGUACAAAAAGAUAGGCCUGAUAGGAACUCUGAAGAUAGUUUCUUGUCUUGGUGAUGCUAGUAAUGUUACUAGAACAUCUCAAUUUGGGAAAUCAAACGCUGAAGAGGCUUUGGAAAUCUUAAAAACAUCUCUGAAUUCUUGCAAACAGUUGUACUUGCCUUUGAUUCUCUUUUAUGACGAACUGACUACAGUGUUGAACUGCAGAACACUUCACCGAGAUAUCAUAGAAUGGAUUUCAAAACAUGUUGGAGAAUUUGAAUCUAUAUUUCUGUCUGAUCUUGAAGGUGGACAACUACUUAUUAAGGAAUCUUACUGCGGUCUAGAAGGGGAGCUAUGGAUGAACUUGGAUGGAGAUAUAUCUCCUAUUUGUUUGAAUAUUUUGCCAUUGGUUUCCUCUUCUUCUCAGUCAGAUUCUUUACAAAUUCUUCCUGCAAAGUUCCUUUUACUUUCUGCUGUUGAGAGGUUAACAAAUCAAGGAUCUCUUGGAGGAAUUGAUGCAUUACUUGGUUGCCCUUUACACAUCCCUUCCUCAAAGUAUUUCUCUGAAGCUGGUUUGCAGUCUCUCACAGAGAAGCAGAAACAGAUGGUGAUCCUCUCGCUUUAUUAUGCAGCAAACUGGAUACGAGAACUGCUUAAUGCCUUCUGCACACAAGUUGCUGGAAGACUGGAAUUAAUGAGUCAGACUACAAAGGAGGAUAUAAUUGUGAAGCUGUUGAAGCGACUACGGAAUCUAGUAUUUCUGGAAAGCUUGUUAAACUAUUCCGUCAAAUGCUUCCCUCAAUCUCUACCUGAGCUCCAUCUUCUUGUGGAGCAAUGUGGAUCCUUACUGCAUCAACCUAGUAAAAUGGAUCAACUGGCCAGAAAGAAUGAAAACAAGAAAAUACAUGACAGUGUCCCUUCAGACAAGAAAAGGAAGCAUAAAAAGAUCUCAAAGGCAUCAACAAGUUCAGAUGUAAACGAAAGAUUGCAGCAGCCAACGAUAUUGGAUGUGUUGAGAAAAGCAGGAAGUCUUACAAGUCAAGAGGUGACAAAUGAGGAUUCUUCUAGUACAUUUUCAAAGAGCGGGAAAGCUGAGGCACCUGACCAAACUUCCUCUGAUUGUAAUGAGCCAGUAAUUAUAGAAGUUUCUAAAGUUGCCAAGGCUUUGGAAAUACAAAGAUUUAAGUUCAGGCCUCUUCAGUUACAAUGCCUUGCCAUUCUGACAUUUUCAAAGAAUCAAGACUCAUGUUGCUCUGACCCUGCUGCUGAGUUACCCCUGUAUCUGUACCUUUUGCGUGAUCUCCACUACAAGCUGGAUUGUUUUACUCCUUCAAGCAAACAAUUGUUGCCCAGAUGCUGGAGUGCUUCUGAUGGUUUUAACAAGAUUACAGCUGAAGAACUCUUGAAUAAAGUCAAACCAGUUUUUCCAAGUCUUAAGAGGCAAUUUGAGUGUGCAGUUUGCAUUCUUAAAGGAGGAGGUGAAAUUUGUCAAGAUCAUUGGAAAGUGGAAUCUGCUAUUGCUGGAAAUCCUGAUAUAUGUAAUGUUAUGUUCUCAAAUUCUUCCGUUUCCACAUUGACCAUUAAAGAAGUACUUACUUGCUUCAGUAAGAUGCUAAACCUUCCUGAAAUGCAAAUGAACAAACCGGUUCUCUCAGAUCUUCUUCAAUCAUUCCAGCCAGUGAAAAUACCAGAUGCUAUAAUUUCAGGACUACAACCUGUCCCUCUCUCUGGGACAAUAGAGUAUUUAUAUCUUGGUGUCUUUUCAUUUCUGGAAGAUGUCCUGAAUAUUGCAUGUUCUUACUCCUUUAUGGUGGCCUCAGAAUCUCUUCUUACUUUAGAAUCAGUUGUAAUAUCGCUUCAAGGGUUCCUUGAUAAGUUGGGGGAAAAUAAUACAACCACACACUCGGGAGUUAUCCAGAGUGUACUUAACAACUUGCGUUGUAGACUUGGAAUUUCUGCUCAGAAGUUGUUAAAGCAUAAUUGGAGUGAUGAAAGUCUUGAGAAUGGUUGGAGGAACAAAGGAGAAAUAGUGCAGAAGAUUCUAUGGAUUUAUUUGGAGCACAGCGAGUCCACUACCAGUUUGUUGGAUGAGCUUGCAUGCACCAUCUUGCCUCAGGUUACUUCCUGGAAAACAAACACAGAAGGUGAUCAUCAUGGUUUCCCUGCUCUAUGUCCUGCCACAUUCGUUGCAUGGUACCGGAUACUUCAUGAAGUGAACCUCUCUAUUCUUAACAAAUUGGUGAAGGAAGCUGCUCACUUGGAAAAGCUGAAAGCUGGUGUUCAACCAGAAGUUGUUCAAAGACAUUUGACCAAAACACACAAGUGUGUGAAUGUGGUGGUAUCAUUAGUUAACAUAUGUAGGAUGCAUGACAAGGUGACUGUGCAUGCCAUGGCUGUCAAGUAUGGUGGGAAUUUUGUUGAUACCUUCCUGAAAGCUUUUGACUUCUUACAGGUCCACUUUCAAACACAUAAUGAAAUUAUAAUCCAAUUGGUGAAAGAGCUUCAAAAGGCCACAAGAACAAUACAGAUUCUAUGCUCUGAAGCAAAGGGGUUGAAACAAACAGCCAUAACUAGCAAAAUUCCUUCUACAAAGAGGUCAAUGGAACGUUUUCUGUUUCGUGUCAAGGCUCUUUUCCACACAUCAUCUAGUGGAUGCACCUUUUGGAUGGGCAAUCUAAAACACAAGGAUUUGAUGGGUCAGGUUGUGAGCUCGCAGGCAUAUGUAGAUGAUCCAAGUACCAAUUUUGAUGAGGAUAAAACAGAAGCUGUUGAUGAGAAUCAAGCUGUUAGUCCAGCAAGUGAGGACAGACAAACAGAAUAAAGAGUUUCUGGUGCAUAGAAUUCUUCAGUUUUCUUUACUAAUGCCUAAAUGAAGAAAGAAAGCUAAGUCACUUUGGAAAUGUAUAGUUUCAGUGCUUCUUUGGGUUCAUGGAAAGAAAGAAAAAAUCUUGGUUUGGGGGAUAAAUGUGAUGAUAACAGUGAGGUACAGUGGGAUAAAAUUAGAUUGUUUGCUUCUGUUUGGGUUUAUUUUUAAAAGAAGCCAAAGUUCUUUUUAUUUUUUUCUUUAUUAAUUUUAAUUGGGAGGGAAUUUUGGGCUAACUUUGUAUAGUUUGUUUUCUCAUAGUGAAGGGAACAUUAGUUAUUGUCUUUGUAUAGAUUUGUCUCCCUCGUUGGAUUCGUGACAAUUUUGUGAAUCUCUAGCCCAUUGAUGUUCCCACCUCAUUCUCCUUUUAAUUUAUAGUUUUAUUGUUUCCUACUAAAAAAACAAAAUAAUAAUAAGAUUAUGUACAAUACUUAAAUAAAUUGUUGACUGUAUAAUUUCAACUGUUUGAUAAU